RNAcentral lists this long non-coding RNA (696 nucleotides) under Fukomys damarensis (Damara mole-rat). RNAcentral describes it as "lncRNA (ENSFDAG00000028899.1)". Lineage: Eukaryota; Metazoa; Chordata; Mammalia; Rodentia; Bathyergidae. The record is from RNAcentral.
ACCCACAUCUGUCUGCCUAAGAGGGAAAUGAGGACAAGAACACCAAAGGAGGAGUCAGUCCUGUUCAUCCCAGCUCUUUGUACCACAACUAUUCACUCCAAUCUUCCUGAAACACCCUGGGCUUAUACCUACUAUCCUGGUAGACAAGGAUGAUGGCAAGUGCACCUCUUACUAAAGUGUCUCUUUGGACAAUAAGUUACAUGGUCAUUCAUAGUCCUGUGGACUACAUGAGUUAAAGAUGUCACAGUCAAGGCUCUCCCCAACAGCAGAGCAUGGACCCACCUACCCACAAAGCUGGGGUAGGCACUGGCAGUGAGAGGAAAGGAUUAGGGUGGGGGAGUCAAUUCCUUCUCUGUUUUACUCCUUCAGGUUCUGUUCUAGCAAUGGGAUCUCAUCAUCUUCAACGUGGUUUUCUGUCCUGUCUUGGAGUUGGUAAAAUAAAGGUGCUGUCCUUACCACUUGGUGCCAAGCCAACCACAGACUUGACUUUCUGGUCCUCUGGCAUUCUAGAUGUGGAGAAACAGCCCCACCCAAGGCCUCAAGGCCACCAUCACACAGAUGGAUGGUGGCUGCUCUACAAGCAGGAGCCCCUUCUGCCUGAUCCUCAGCCCUGAAGAUCCGCCUAGAUGGUAAGGCCUGCUAUCCCCUAGUAGCUACCAUGCUGGGGUCACUAGGAACGCACUUGGGAUGUAUAGG